This 497-nucleotide ribosomal RNA is filed under the name uncultured bacterium. RNAcentral describes it as "partial 16S ribosomal RNA". It matches the Rfam family "Bacterial small subunit ribosomal RNA", at positions 28 to 507 of the family's 1533-position model. The record is from RNAcentral.
GAUGAACGCUGGCGGCGUGCCUAAUACAUGCAAGUCGAGCGAACGGACGAGAAGCUUGCUUUUCUGAUGUUAGCGGCGGACGGGUGAGUAACACGUGGAUAACCUACCUAUAAGACUGGGAUAACUUCGAGAAACCGGAGCUAAUACCGGAUAAUAUUUUGAACCGCAUGGUUCAAAAGUGAAAGACGGUCUUGCUGUCACUUAUAGAUGGAUCCGCGCUGCAUUAGCUAGUUGGUAAGGUAACGGCUUACCAAGGCAACGAUGCAUAGCCGACCUGAGAGGGUGAUCGGCCACACUGGAACUGAGACACGGUCCAGACUCCUACGGGAGGCAGCAGUAGGGAAUCUUCCGCAAUGGGCGAAAGCCUGACGGAGCAACGCCGCGUGAGUGAUGAAGGUCUUCGGAUCGGAAAACUCUGUUAUUAGGGAAGAACAUAUGUGUAAGUAACUGUGCACAUCUUGACGGUACCUAAUCAGAAAGCCACGGCUAACUACGUG